This 725-nucleotide unclassified non-coding RNA is filed under the name Hevea brasiliensis (rubber tree). The record is from RNAcentral. Lineage: Eukaryota; Viridiplantae; Streptophyta; Magnoliopsida; Malpighiales; Euphorbiaceae.
AAAAAUAAAAUAAAAUAAAAAUAUAUUUGUUUUCAACUGCAUUUCACUGGACUUAUAAUCUCUAUAUUAAACGUCCACAGCAGCAUCACAUAUUCCAUUUGCACAUAGCCAUAUAUAUUUUGAAAUUUACAUCAGCAAACCAGGCUAAUUCAGGUUAGUGGAGAAAUAUCCACAGUGGAAAUGCAUAUUAGGUAGCUACCGGCUACAAGUCAGUAUUUCUUCCGCCUAUUCUUUCACUGUUUCUUUUGUCCAAAGUUUUACUUAAAACAAGCAGACAAACUAGAUAAUUAACCAGUCCUUAAAGAUUAUCCAAUCCGCAGAACAAACAUCAUAAAAAUUUUAAUUACAAAAAAAAAAUUAUGGAAUGUCCUCCACGCUUCAUUGAGAUAGCCUUCCAAAGAAUAAACAAACUGAAACGCAGACAACUAGACAAGUAGUGUUAAACAGCCAAUCAGAGAAAUGCUUUUAAAAUGAUAAUAAAAAUAAUAAACAAUUAGGGAUUCUAAUUCCAUACAUAACAUGACUGAUUCACAAACAUUGUUGUAAAUCACCAUAAAUCUGAACUCAACCACUAGACAAUGAAAUCUCACUUAAAACCAAUAUCAACAUAAUCACGAUCAUUUAAUAAAAACUGGGUGUGAACUGUGAAGUCUUCCAAACAAAGGAAAAUGCCAAAAUGAAAAUGACAAAAACAAGAGUUUGAGAAGAACAAGAAGAAGAAGAAG